AAUUGACUAAAGAGAAGAAGUCCACUUGAAGCGAAUACAAAGAAUAUCGGUGAUCCGUGUGUUUCCGACAUCAUCGACACCGUAUGCAUCACUGGGUUCGAGCUUCCUCUUCCGAUUUCACCGGAAAUCCUCCACAGCCGAGGAGUGGACAUACAGCUGUCAAUGUCGGAAAAUCCAUGGUGGUCGUGUUCGGCGGUCUCGUCGAUAAGAAAUUCCUCAACGACAUAAUUGUUUAUGAUAUUGAAAACAAACUCUGGUUUGAGCCAGAAUGCACUGGCAGCGUGUCGGAUGGACAAGUGGGUCCUUCACCUCGUGCAUUUCAUGUUGCCAUCACAAUCGAUUGUCAUAUGUUCAUCUUUGGUGGACGUUCUGGUGGCAAGAGGUUGGGCGACUUUUGGGUUCUAGAUACAGAUAUAUGGCAGUGGUCUGAGCUGACUAGCUUCGGCGACUUACCUACGCCUCGUGAUUUUUCUGCCGCUGCUGCUAUUGGGAGCCAGAAAAUUGUACUGUGUGGCGGCUGGGAUGGUAAAAAGUGGCUGUCAGAUGUGUAUGUUAUGGACACAAUGUCCCUUGAAUGGAUGGAGCUGUCGGUUUCGGGGUCGUUGCCACCUCCUAGAUGUGGUCAUACAGCCACCAUGGUUGAGAAACGGUUACUUGUUUUCGGUGGCAGAGGAGGUGGUGGCCCUAUCAUGGGUGAUUUGUGGGCUUUGAAGGGUCUAAUAGAUGAAGAGCGUGAAACGCCUGGAUGGACCCAACUCAAGCUUCCUGGCCAAGCACCAUCAUCUCGAUGUGGUCAUACAGUUACAUCCGGAGGACAUUAUCUUCUGUUAUUUGGGGGACAUGGAACUGGUGGAUGGCUGAGUCGUUAUGAUGUCUAUUAUGAUGACACUAUAAUUUUGGACAGAGUAACUGCUCAGUGGAAGCGCUUACCAAUAAGCAAUGAUGAGCUUCCUCCUCCUCGAGCUUACCAUUCCAUGACUUGUAUCGGAGCUCGUCACCUUUUACUUGGUGGGUUUGAUGGAAAAUCGACCUUUGGUGAUCUUUGGUGGUUGGUUCCCGAAGAUGAUCCGAUAGCCAAGAGGUCAUCUGUACCUCAACUUAGAAAUCCUCCUGAAAUUAAAGAGUCAGAGAGAGUAUUGGACAAGGACAGAGGACAAGAGGGAUCCGCUAUUGUUGAAUUGCAGAAGAAAAUGGGAAUAUCUGUUUCAUCAGGAUUACGCCUUCAAAUUCCUGAGGAGUCAGAAGAUCAAGAAUUCGUUGAAUUAGGAAAAAGAUUGAUUGAGGGAGAUGUAGUUGAUGAUCGAGCUUCUAUGGUUCAGAUGGCAGCUCAAGCACUUCGUCAACAUUGGAAAGAGUCCACUCCUAUAACUUUACAACUAAAAGAGCUUGGUUCCUUACUUCGAGAUUAUCAGCGACUUGUUACCCGAAAAUACACUGCACAGAACAGCUUAACAUCUGCUGACUUUGGCCUCCCCAGAAUGAAGACCUUUACGUUUUAUCAUAUCAAAAGUUCUUCCGAGUUGCGGAUGGAUGACAUCCCGAAGUUGCUGGAAGAAUAUAAAACCCUUCUAAUCUGAUUGAGGAGCACUGCCAUGAAAACUCACGAGAAGAAACAACCAAUCUUUUAGGUUUCCGUAUAAAAAAGGCAAAUUCUAUUCGCGCAAGCACCCAACAGUCUUGUUGAUCUCUUCCAGCUUCUUCACCUUUAGUCUUUCGCUUUCAGCCUGUAGCUGCCAAGAAGAUCACCGAGCUUGCGAUCAGCAAUAUCACUGCAACCAACAAAUCUAAAAGUCAAAAAGAGAAUCAGAUCCGUUGAUAGACAAUAGAUAUGUCCAACUUUUUUUUGAGUCAAGGACACAAAUAUAUACGAAUAUGUAAGAUUCCUACUAUGAAAGUGCUAUGUGUGGUACACUCAUUGAUAUUUUAUGGUUGGUUAGUUUAAGAUAUGGAUUUUGG
Molecule: RNA transcript, 1956 nt
Organism: Eutrema salsugineum
Lineage: Eukaryota; Viridiplantae; Streptophyta; Magnoliopsida; Brassicales; Brassicaceae
Gene name: host cell factor
Exons: 17
Source: RefSeq, a predicted model, not a curated record